UUGGCAGUAAUUCAACAAACAUUUUAUUAACCUCUACUAAACCAUAUUUAUUAUUUAUGGCCAAAUCACAGAAUCCUGAAGUUAGAGACUCCAAGGAGAAAAUGACACUCCUGGCUGAGAAUGACUUCUGUCUCACAGCGCCAGUGCAUCUUCUCCAGUUCCUCCAAUUGAUACCAGCGAAGAUGCACCUAAAGAUGGAAACUCAGUAGUAUCAAUGCCCAAAAUACAUAAUCUGGGGGGAAAACACCACUAGUACCUCAAAAGGCAGACUCCAGGUUUGAAUUCUGGCUCUACUACAGAAUAGCCGGUGACCUUAAUUUUCUUACCUGGAAAAUAGAGAUAAUAAGGGAUGAUUUCAUAGUCCUGAGGAUUUGAGGAGGUAAUGCCUGUAAGGCUCUCAGUACCAUGCAUGGCAUUUAAUAAGAAGUCAGUAAAUGUCAGCUACUAGUAGUAUAGUUUCAUGGUUGUUGUUGUUAGUAUAAAACAGGAUUUUCCCCAUUGUCCUGGAAUUGCAGCAAAUGCAUAAACUGAUGGCACAAAAUGUUCUAGGUUUCUUGUCCUUUGGCCUCUUCCUCUUUCCUACUUGAAUCUCUGCAUGAGAAAGCAGCUCUGGAGUUUCAACUCUAGUCUGACUUAGGUGUAGGAGUGAAACAGGGCUUUGAAUUGUACAAAAGAUUAAAAUUAGGCCGGGCGCAGUGGCUCAUGCCUGUAAUCCCAGCACUUUGGGAGGCCGAGGCGGGUGGAUCACCUGUGGUCAGGAGUUCGAGACCAGCCUGGCCAACAUGGUGAAACCCCUUCUCUACUAAAAACACAAAAAUUAGCUGGGCGUGGUGGUAGGUGCCUGUAAUCCCAACUACUCGGGAGGGUGAGGCAGGAGAAUCGCUUGAACCCGGGAGGCGGAGGUUGCAGUGAGCCAAGAUUGCGCCACUGCACUCCAGCCUGGGCGACAAGAGCGAAACUCUGUCUCAAAAAAAAAAAAAAAAAAAGAUUAAAAUUAAACAUGAGCAAGGCUUAACUAUCAGAAUAAAUGUUUUGAUAAAGAAAAGUGACUGAAAAACAUUACAGAAUCUAAGCAAAAUGUCAUUAAGGGAGCCAUCAUCCAGUAGCACAAAUGGGAUUCACAAUCAACUCUGGCUUUAUUUCAUGUAACAGAAGCAGCCUGAGAAAAAGCAUAAAGGAUUCCAUAUGUUUCCACAAUGAGCCCACUGACUCAGAUGAUCAAGCCGAUAUCAGUGAGGAAAAUGGAGUACUAUCCCUCGUGACCCAUGAGAAAUUGCUCUAUAAAAACAAAUUUAUCCUAUAGUAGUCCUCCUCAUCAUCCUCUUGCAACCAAGCAGGUAAUACAAUAAAAAUACAAAAAAAAAAAUUAUGGCUCAUAAAUUAGAGAAGAAGCUGUGAUGCUGUAUGACAUCUGCAGCACACAUUCAUAAAGCACUGGGGUAGGGGUCAAUGAAUGAGCCUCAACAGAAGUGCUCUCUAGUCAUUGUACUUCUCCGUGCCCUCUCUUGGCUCAAACUGCCAGAGAUAAACACAUAAUGAAGAAAAGGAGAGGCAACUGCAACUGCAUUACUGUUUGAAAAGUAAUGGAGGCUCCUGUAAC
Molecule: long non-coding RNA, 1600 nt
Filed under: Homo sapiens (human)
Lineage: Eukaryota; Metazoa; Chordata; Mammalia; Primates; Hominidae
Description: non-protein coding lnc-SNAPC3-10:1
Source: RNAcentral